UGCGGGGUCGUCUAACCGGCAAGACGCCUGGUUCUGGCCCAGGAGAUUGCAGGUUCAAACCCUGCCCCUGCAGCCU
Molecule: transfer RNA, 76 nt
Filed under: Chloroflexota bacterium
Lineage: Bacteria; Bacillati; Chloroflexota
Description: Chloroflexi bacterium tRNA-Gln
Rfam family: tRNA
About the family: Transfer RNA (tRNA) molecules are approximately 80 nucleotides in length. Their secondary structure includes four short double-helical elements and three loops (D, anti-codon, and T loops).
Source: RNAcentral